Molecule: ribosomal RNA, 755 nt
Filed under: uncultured archaeon
Lineage: Archaea
Description: bacterial SSU rRNA
Rfam family: Archaeal small subunit ribosomal RNA
Source: RNAcentral
GGAUAACCUACCCAAGAGUCUGGGAUAACCCCGGGAAACUGGGGAUAAUACCGGAUAGGUCAUUCGGGCUGGAAGGCUGUUUGGCUGAAACCUUUGGGGCUUUUGGAUGGGUCGGCGGCUGAUUAGGUUGUUGCCGGUGUAACGUACCGUCAAGCCUGUAAUCAGUACGGGUUGUGGGAGCAAAAGCCCGGAGAUGGAUUCUGAGACACGAAUCCAGGCCCUACGGGGCGCAGCAGGCGCGAAAACUUUACAAUGCAGGCAACUGCGAUAGGGGAACAUCGAGUGCUCAUCAUAUUGGUGGGCUGUCCAUCCGCCUAAAAAGCGGGUGUUAGCAAGGGCCGGGCAAGACCGGUGCCAGCCGCCGCGGUAAUACCGGCGGCUCGAGUGGUGGCCGAUAUUAUUGAGUCUAAAGGGUCCGUAGCCGGCUUUGCAAGUCUCUCGGGAAAUCCAGCGGCUUAACCGUUGGUCGGCCGGGGGGUACUACAUUGCUUGGGACUGGGAGAGGUAGGAGGUACUCGGGGGUAGGAGUGAAAUCCUGUAAUCCUCUGGGGACCACCGGUGGCGAAGGCGUCCUACCAGAACAGGUCCGACGGUGAGGGACGAAAGCUAGGGGCACGAACCGGAUUAGAUACCCGGGUAGUCCUAGCCGUAAACGAUGCUCGCUAGGUGUCGCAACAGUCGUGAAUUGUUGCGGUGCCGUAGGGAAGCCGUGAAGCGAGCCACUUGGGAAGUACGACCGCAAGGUUGAAACUUAA